RNAcentral lists this ribosomal RNA (294 nucleotides) under uncultured bacterium. Its description in RNAcentral is "partial 16S ribosomal RNA". The record is from RNAcentral.
GGACUACUCGGGUAUCUAAUCCUGUUUGCUCCCCUUGCUCUCGCGCCUCAGCGUCAGGUAUAAACUAGAAAACCGCUUUCGCCACCGGUGUUCUUCCACAUAUCCACGCAUUUCACCGCUACAUGUGGAAUUCCGUUUUCUCCGUCUACCCUCGUUAGACUUGUAGUUUCAAAUGCAGCUCCAAAAUUGAGUCUUGGAAUUUCACAUCUGACUUACAAAUCCGCCUACGCGCCCUUUACGCCCAAUAAUUCCGAUUAAUGCUUGCACCCUCCGUAUUACCGCGGCUGCUGGCAC